AGCCUCUCAGGGUCGCACCUGGAGAGUUUCCAGUACUCCACCAGUCUCGACUAUGGGAGGGAGAGUCAAGAAGAGGCUUACCCAUUCCAUUCCUAGCUUGGGUAGUGGCUAGCGAGCAGAAGACCAUCUCCUACAAGU
This 138-nucleotide small nucleolar RNA is filed under the name Ornithorhynchus anatinus (platypus). The record is from RNAcentral. Lineage: Eukaryota; Metazoa; Chordata; Mammalia; Monotremata; Ornithorhynchidae.